UUUGAACGCUGGCGGUUGGCUUAACACAUGCAAGUCGAGCGGGGGAAGGUAGCUUGCUACCGGACCUAGCGGCGGACGGGUGAGUAAUGCUUAGGAAUCUGCCUAUUAGUGGGGGACAACAUCUCGAAAGGGAUGCUAAUACCGCAUACGUCCUACGGGAGAAAGCAGGGGAUCUUCGGACCUUGCGCUAAUAGAUGAGCCUAAGUCGGAUUAGCUAGUUGGUGGGGUAAAGGCCUACCAAGGCGACGAUCUGUAGCGGGUCUGAGAGGAUGAUCCGCCACACUGGGACUGAGACACGGCCCAGACUCCUACGGGAGGCAGCAGUGGGGAAUAUUGGACAAUGGGGGGAACCCUGAUCCAGCCAUGCCGCGUGUGUGAAGAAGGCCUUAUGGUUGUAAAGCACUUUAAGCGAGGAGGAGGCUACUUUAGUUAAUACCUAGAGAUAGUGGUCGUUACUCGCAGAAUAAGCACCGGCUAACUCUGUGCCAGCAGCCGCCGUAA
This 501-nucleotide ribosomal RNA is filed under the name uncultured bacterium. RNAcentral describes it as "partial 16S ribosomal RNA". It matches the Rfam family "Bacterial small subunit ribosomal RNA", at positions 30 to 523 of the family's 1533-position model. The record is from RNAcentral.